GCAGGUGAAGGUGUGUGGCGAGGUAGCCACGGGAACAGGGCCCAAUAAGAAGGUGGCGAAGCGGAAUGCUGCCGAGGCCAUGCUACUACAGCUGGGAUACAAGGCCUCCACCUGCCCACAGAGCCCUACUGAGAUGGACGACAAAGGCUGGAACGGACAAAAGACGGCUUUUAACGAAACUCCAA
Non-coding RNA from Salvelinus sp. IW2-2015, 185 nucleotides. The record is from RefSeq and is a predicted model, not a curated record. Lineage: Eukaryota; Metazoa; Chordata; Actinopteri; Salmoniformes; Salmonidae.